Molecule: ribosomal RNA, 462 nt
Filed under: uncultured bacterium
Lineage: Bacteria
Description: partial 16S ribosomal RNA
Rfam family: Bacterial small subunit ribosomal RNA
Source: RNAcentral
GACGAACGCUGGCGGCGUGCUUAACACAUGCGAGUCGAACGGAAAGGCCCUUCGGGGUACUCGAGUGGCGAACGGGUGAGUAACACGUGGGUGAUCUGCCCUGCACUUUGGGAUAAGCCUGGGAAACUGGGUCUAAUACCGAAUAGGACCACGCGCUUCAUGGUGUGUGGUGGAAAGCUUUUGCGGUGUGGGAUGGGCCCGCGGCCUAUCAGCUUGUUGGUGGGGUGAUGGCCUACCAAGGCGACGCCGGGUGGCCGGCCUGAGAGGGUGACCGGCCACACUGGGACUGAGAUACGGCCCAGACUCCUACGGGAGGCAGCAGUGGGGAAUAUUGCACAAUGGGCGCAAGCCUGAUGCAGCGACGCCGCGUGAGGGAUGACGGCCUUCGGGUUGUAAACCUCUUUCACCAGGGACGAAGCGUAAGUGACGGUACCUGGAGAAGAAGCACCGGCCAACUACGUG